CAUCAAGAAGCCCUUUUUUGAAGUUGCUCUCCAAACGAGAGAAUCCGCCCUAUUUUUCUCUGCGACUCUCAAUCCUCGUAGGUACUAAUCUAAUCAUGUUAUUAUUGUUUUUUUUUUCCAACCCCCAUUUGAUUCCCAAGAAAAUCCAUCCCCCAUUCGAUUUCCGGGAAAAUUCAUCAUCUUUUGAUUUCCGAGAAAAUCCAUGCAAAACCCCCAAGGAAAACCAAAAAAAUUGCUUUUUUUUUUUGCUCCCUGUGUUUUCUCUUUGCAAAACUCCUAUUUGAUUCCCAAGAAAAUCUAUCCCCCAUUCAAUUUCCGAGAAAAUUCAUUCUCGUUUUAUUUAUGAGAAAAUCCAUGCAAAACCCCCAAGGAAAACCAAAAAAAUUGCUUUUUUUUUUUUUUGCUCCUUGUGUCUUCUCUUUGCAAAACCCUCCCGUUUGAUUCCCAAGAAAUUCCAUCCCCCAUUCGAUUUCCGAGAAAAUCCAUGCAAAAAUCCCAAGGAAAACCAAAAAAAAUUGUUGCUUCCUAUGUUUUCUGGAUUUGUUCUAGGGGUUUCUUUGCUUUUGUGUCAUUGGAUUUAAAUUUCACGAACCCUAAUUCCAUGAUUUUUGAGCCAGGCUUAAAAACACAACCUUUGUCUGCAAAUCAUGAUCAAAUUACCAAAUAGCAUCUUAUGUUUUUUUUAACAAAAAAAAAAAAAAAAAUGGAUAUAUUUUGUGUCCUAUGCUCAGGUUGGACUGGUAGGAAAUAUCGGGAAAUUUCUCAAAAAAUCGGUAAAAAUACUGAUAAAUACAUGCUUGUUGGGUUUUAAAUAAAAUGGGUUCUUCUUCCCUAGGCACUUAAUUUUGUGGCUUUGAAUGGGUCUUUGCCUCUUCCAUUCGAUUAAAUGAAGGUGUGGAAGUGGUAAUAUUUCAUCUUUUUAUUUGUUCUUGUUAGUUAAAUUCUAAUAAUCUAUUUUCCUCUUUUGGUCAUGUAGAACAUCAUUGAAUCAAGAUUACGUUGACUUUGGUUUCACCUACAUUAAACUUGAGAUCAGAAACCUCAAAUUUUCCCCAUAUUAGAUCUUUAAUUACUAGGUACAUUCUGGUUUGCUUUGUGAUUUAUUGAAGAAAAAGUGUGGAUUGUGUGAUGGUUGAAAAUAUUUAGUUACUGGAUUUUUUGGUUUUGAGUCUCAAAUGGACUUGUCAAGUUGUAAGCAUUUGAGAUUCUUUAGUUGCCAUUUGAAUUCUAGACAUGCAAAUGUGUUGCUCUGGUGAUUAGAGCUGUUUUGCUCCCCACAUUCUUUGGCUUUGGUGGGGUUGUUCAGAACAUCUUUUUGGUGAUCAACAAUAGUUCAUUGUCCUCAAAUUCCAAGCUCCAAAUGUGGAAAGACAAGUUCUUGGAGGUUCCUUAGAUUUCAUAAGGAUAAGUGUUUUUUGUAUAGAAAAAUAAUUAAAAAAAAAAACCUUAAAUGAGCAGUUUUAGAUGAAACCAGGUAUAGUUUGCAUUUACAUAAAUUUGGAGUUGUUUUAGUUCUUGCUAAAUUUGUUCAUUUAUUUUUCCUAUCCUCAUUUAAUAUGAUGUCAUAUUUAUUUUUUUUCAUGUACCUUUUUGUAGAGCUUGGUAAAUUAUAGCUAGUUGUGUUGUCAUUUUUUGUUGGUCUUUCUAAGCAACCAAAUGAAGCAUUUGUGCAUGAUUUGUAGGCUAUCUUUGACUUGUAUAGUUUAAUGGAAACCUUGGAUAUUUCAAGGAAAGUGUUAGGUUAAAAAAUCAUAAUAAUGAUCUAAAUAGUUAAAUAUCUUGGUUGAGGUUGGAUUAAAACAAUAACUUCAUUAGGUUAAAAUGAUUUUUGUUGUAGGUUUUGCUCCUAGGUUUAGCCUCCAUAUGUUUUUGCUAUAUCAAUAUUUUAAUAUUUGAGAGUUGGUUUGUUUACUUGUGUUAUUAAGAAAUAAUCUAUUAUUGUCUAAUAAAGGUGUAGUGGCUAGCUUGCUAUUAAAAUUCUUCAUAAAGCUUGAUAUUUGAUUGCUCCUCAUUAUACAUUUUUCUUUUUAAUUUGUUAAUAUGCUCUAUAUUUUUUGCUACAGAUUCGAAGUUUGGGUGUUGGAAACUUAAGGCUUUCCUAUAAAGUAAUGCUUUAAGAUGGAGGCAAGAGACUUAGUUAAAGAUAUAUAAAUGAGCAACUUAAUUCAAGUUUAUGUAUAUUGUCUUAUAGUGUGUUUUUAAUUUCGUUGUAUAUUAUAUGAGUUUCUUCUAUAUAGAGAAACUGGGGACAACUUUAAAC
Molecule: long non-coding RNA, 2260 nt
Filed under: Vitis vinifera (wine grape)
Lineage: Eukaryota; Viridiplantae; Streptophyta; Magnoliopsida; Vitales; Vitaceae
Description: long non-coding RNA (VVIN_LNC006161)
Source: RNAcentral